UGCAGUCGACGAUGAACCACUUCGGUGGGGAUUAGUGGCGAACGGGUGAGUAACACGUGGGCAAUCUGCCCUGCACUCUGGGACAAGCCCUGGAAACGGGGUCUAAUACCGGAUACUGACCCGCUUGGGCAUCCAAGCGGUUCGAAAGCUCCGGCGGUGCAGGAUGAGCCCGCGGCCUAUCAGCUUGUUGGUGAGGUAAUGGCUCACCAAGGCGACGACGGGUAGCCGGCCUGAGAGGGCGACCGGCCACACUGGGACUGAGACACGGCCCAGACUCCUACGGGAGGCAGCAGUGGGGAAUAUUGCACAAUGGGCGAAAGCCUGAUGCAGCGACGCCGCGUGAGGGAUGACGGCCUUCGGGUUGUAAACCUCUUUCAGCAGGGAAGAAGCGAAAGUGACGGUACCUGCAGAAGAAGCGCCGGCUAACUACGUGCCAGCAGCCGCGGUAAUACGUAGGGCGCGAGCGUUGUCCGGAAUUAUUGGGCGUAAAGAGCUCGUAGGCGGCUUGUCACGUCGGUUGUGAAAGCCCGGGGCUUAACCCCGGGUCUGCAGUCGAUACGGGCAGGCUAGAGUUCGGUAGGGGAGAUCGGAAUUCCUGGUGUAGCGGUGAAAUGCGCAGAUAUCAGGAGGAACACCGGUGGCGAAGGCGGAUCUCUGGGCCGAUACUGACGCUGAGGAGCGAAAGCGUGGGGAGCGAACAGGAUUAGAUACCCUGGUAGUCCACGCCGUAAACGGUGGGCACUAGGUGUGGGCGACAUUCCACG
RNAcentral lists this ribosomal RNA (764 nucleotides) under Streptomyces sp. RNAcentral's name for it is "bacterial SSU rRNA". It matches the Rfam family "Bacterial small subunit ribosomal RNA", at positions 56 to 836 of the family's 1533-position model. Lineage: Bacteria; Bacillati; Actinomycetota; Actinomycetes; Kitasatosporales; Streptomycetaceae. The record is from RNAcentral.